UACGAAGGGGGCUAGCGUUGUUCGGAAUUACUGGGCGUAAAGCGCGCGUAGGCGGAUCGCUAAGUCAGGGGUGAAAUCCCAGGGCUCAACCCUGGAACUGCCUCUGAUACUGGCAAUCUGGAGAUCGGGAGAGGUUGGUGGAAUUCCGAGUGUAGAGGUGAAAUUCGUAGAUAUCAGGAAGAACACCUAUGGCGAAAGCAGCUCUCUGGGACGGUACUGACGCUGAGACGCGAAAGCGUGGGGAGCGAACAGG
RNAcentral lists this ribosomal RNA (253 nucleotides) under uncultured bacterium. RNAcentral's name for it is "partial 16S ribosomal RNA". It matches the Rfam family "Bacterial small subunit ribosomal RNA", at positions 524 to 776 of the family's 1533-position model. The record is from RNAcentral.